GGAUGUGAGGGUGAUCUGGCUGCGACAUCUGUCACCCCAUUGAUCGCCAGGGUUGAUUUGGCUGAUCUGGCGGGUGUCCCCUUCCUCCCUCACCACUCCAUGUGCGUCCCGCCCGAAGCUGCCCGCUUGGUUGAAGAGGACAGCCUUUCCCUAAUAGAGAUGGACUGGUCUUCAGUCGGUAUACGAGUAGCUGCGCUCUCCUACUAGAACCUCCACACAAGCUCUCAGGUGGGGGUCAGGGGCUUGAACCUGUGUCCUUGUGCACUAUAACGCAUGCAUUUUCAGAUGUGCCACUGCCCAGCCCUUAAAGUUCUGGUUUAU
This 321-nucleotide small nuclear RNA is filed under the name Erinaceus europaeus (western European hedgehog). RNAcentral's name for it is "7SK RNA". It matches the Rfam family "7SK RNA". From Rfam's summary of the family: 7SK was discovered as an abundant small nuclear RNA in the mid-70s but a possible function has only recently been suggested. Two independent studies have found that 7SK RNA binds the CDK9/cyclin T complex (known as elongation factor P-TEFb). Lineage: Eukaryota; Metazoa; Chordata; Mammalia; Eulipotyphla; Erinaceidae. The record is from Rfam by way of RNAcentral.